UACAGAGGGUGCGAGCGUUAAUCGGAAUUACUGGGCGUAAAGCGCGCGUAGGCGGCUUUGCAAGUCGAGUGCGAAAUCCCCAGGCUUAACCUGGGAACUGCAUUCGAGACUGCAUAGCUAGAGUAUGGGAGAGGGAAGUGGAAUUUCAGGUGUAGCGGUGAAAUGCGUAGAUAUCUGAAGGAACAUCAGUGGCGAAAGCGACUUCCUGGACCAAUACUGACGCUCAUGUGCGAAAGCGUGGGGAGCAAACAGG
This 253-nucleotide ribosomal RNA is filed under the name uncultured bacterium. Its description in RNAcentral is "partial 16S ribosomal RNA". It matches the Rfam family "Bacterial small subunit ribosomal RNA", at positions 524 to 776 of the family's 1533-position model. The record is from RNAcentral.